This 24-nucleotide transfer RNA is filed under the name Metriopelia ceciliae (bare-faced ground-dove). Its description in RNAcentral is "partial tRNA-Met". The record is from RNAcentral. Lineage: Eukaryota; Metazoa; Chordata; Aves; Columbiformes; Columbidae. RNAcentral also lists the same sequence under 1 other name.
AUGGUUUAACCCCCUCCUCUACUA